GGCGGCUCUAGGGUGAUGCACCCGAGAAUCAGGCUUUCUCCUCUCUGGUUCCGCAGUGUGUCACCCGAGAACCGCC
Molecule: non-coding RNA, 76 nt
Organism: Myotis davidii
Lineage: Eukaryota; Metazoa; Chordata; Mammalia; Chiroptera; Vespertilionidae
Source: Rfam